Molecule: ribosomal RNA, 257 nt
Filed under: uncultured bacterium
Lineage: Bacteria
Description: partial 16S ribosomal RNA
Rfam family: Bacterial small subunit ribosomal RNA
Source: RNAcentral
UACGUAGGGUGCGAGCGUUGUCCGGAAUUACUGGGCGUAAAGAGCUCGUAGGUGGUUUGUCGCGUUGUCCGUGAAAAACUCACAACUCAAUUGUGGGCGUGCGGGCGAUACGGGCAGACUGGAGUACUGCAGGGGGAGACUGGAAUUCCUGGUGUAGCGGUGGGAAUGCGCAGAUAUCAGGAGGAACACCGGUGGCGAAGGCGGGACUCUGGGCCGAUACUGACGCUGAGGAGCGAAAGCGUGGGGGAGCAAACAGG